RNAcentral lists this ribosomal RNA (420 nucleotides) under uncultured bacterium. RNAcentral's name for it is "bacterial SSU rRNA". It matches the Rfam family "Bacterial small subunit ribosomal RNA", at positions 356 to 773 of the family's 1533-position model. The record is from RNAcentral.
GAGGAAUAUUGGUCAAUGGACGAGAGUCUGAACCAGCCAAGUCGCGUGAAGGAAGACGGCCCUAAGGGUUGUAAACUUCUUUUGUAGAGGAAUAAAAUGUUCUACGUGUAGGAUAUUGCAAGUACUUUACGAAUAAGGAUCGGCUAACUCCGUGCCAGCAGCCGCGGUAAUACGGAGGAUCCGAGCGUUAUCCGGAUUUAUUGGGUUUAAAGGGUGCGCAGGCGGCAUGUUAAGUCGGCGGUGAAAUUUUGCAGCUCAACUGUAAAAGAGCCUUCGAAACUGGCAAGCUUGAGUAUGGAUGAAGUAGGCGGAAUUUGUGGUGUAGCGGUGAAAUGCAUAGAUAUCACAAAGAACACCGAUUGCGCAGGCAGCUUACUAAACCAUAACUGACGCUCAGGCACGAAGGCGUGGGGAUCAAAC